UACGUAGGGUGCGAGCGUUGUCCGGAAUUAUUGGGCGUAAAGCGCGUGUAGGCGGCCAGAAAAGUCCGCUGUGAAAACUCGAGGCUCAACUUCGAGCUGUCGGUGGAAACUUUCUGGCUAGAGUCCGGAAGAGGGGAAUGGAAUUCCUGGUGUAGCGGUGAAAUGCGCAGAUAUCAGGAAGAACACCCGUGGCGAAGGCGGUUCUCUGGGACGGUACUGACGCUGAGACGCGAAAGCGUGGGGAGCGAACAGG
RNAcentral lists this ribosomal RNA (253 nucleotides) under uncultured bacterium. RNAcentral's name for it is "partial 16S ribosomal RNA". It matches the Rfam family "Bacterial small subunit ribosomal RNA", at positions 524 to 776 of the family's 1533-position model. The record is from RNAcentral.